This 450-nucleotide ribosomal RNA is filed under the name uncultured bacterium. RNAcentral describes it as "bacterial SSU rRNA". It matches the Rfam family "Bacterial small subunit ribosomal RNA", at positions 328 to 792 of the family's 1533-position model. The record is from RNAcentral.
GCUCCAGACUCCUACGGGAGGCAGCAGUGGGGAAUAUUGCGCAAUGGGGGGAACCCUGAUGCAGCAAUGCCGCGUGAAGGAUGAAGGUUUUCGGAUUGUAAACUUCUUUUGUACGGGACGAAGAAAGUGACGGUACCGUAAGAAUAAGCCGCGGCUAACUACGUGCCAGCAGCCGCGGUAAUACGUAGGUGGCAAGCGUUAUCCGGAUUUACUGGGUGUAAAGGGCGAGUAGGCGGGGAAGCAAGUCAGAUGUGAAAUUCCAGGGCUCAACCCUGGAACUGCAUUUGAAACUGUUUUUCUUGAGUGAUGGAGAGGCAGGCGGAAUUCCGUGUGUAGCGGUGAAAUGCGUAGAUAUACGGAGGAACACCAGUGGCGAAGGCGGCCUGCUGGACAUUAACUGACGCUGAGGCGCGAAAGCGUGGGGAGCAAACAGGAUUAGAUACCCCAGUA